RNAcentral lists this RNase P RNA (492 nucleotides) under Nibricoccus aquaticus. Its description in RNAcentral is "RNase P RNA component class A". It matches the Rfam family "Bacterial RNase P class A". From Rfam's summary of the family: Ribonuclease P (RNase P) is a ubiquitous endoribonuclease, found in archaea, bacteria and eukarya as well as chloroplasts and mitochondria. Its best characterised activity is the generation of mature 5'-ends of tRNAs by cleaving the 5'-leader elements of precursor-tRNAs. Cellular RNase Ps are ribonucleoproteins. The record is from RNAcentral. Lineage: Bacteria; Pseudomonadati; Verrucomicrobiota; Opitutia; Opitutales; Opitutaceae.
GGGGCCAGAUCGUCGCUCCGAGUUCUUUGAUCCCAAGGCGCGGCCUAAACGCCGCGCCCGUAUUUGAAACUUGGAGAGGAAAGUCCGGACACCACCGGGCAGGAUUCCCGUCGAGAAACGUCGUCGCGCCGCUGCGACCGGUCGCAAGGCCAUCGCGCGGAUCGCUUCUGCUCAAGCCGGGGCGGUGCGGGCCACAUCCCGCAUCGACGGAUAGUGUCACAGAGAACAAGUAGCCGGUGCGCGCUGCAAAGCGGGUGCCGGUCAUAGUGAAAAGGUGGGGUAAGAGCCCACCGCGCCGCCAGCAAUGGCGGUGGCAGGAAAAACCCAAUCCGGUGCAAGGCAAAAUAGGCGGCUGGGCGGCCCGUCCAACAGCCGCGGGUAUGCCGCAUUUCGCUUCGGCGAAGAGCUGCGCAAGCAGUCUAGAGAAAUGACGAUUACCGCGAUGGCCGAAAGUCCGUCGCGCGCACAGAAUCCGGCUUACCGGUCUCGAAG